AGCCUUCUGUAUCCGUGCUGAGAUUUCGUCAGCGAUCAACCUGUUACAUCUGAUGCAACUUCCAAUGUAAGUGAAGUG
RNAcentral lists this microRNA precursor (78 nucleotides) under Trichobilharzia regenti. Its description in RNAcentral is "mir-3492 microRNA precursor family". It matches the Rfam family "mir-3492 microRNA precursor family". The record is from Rfam by way of RNAcentral. Lineage: Eukaryota; Metazoa; Platyhelminthes; Trematoda; Strigeidida; Schistosomatidae.